GGUAAGAUGGCUGAGUCAGGCGGUAGAUUGUAAAUCUAUUUACGAGGAAAAAUACCUCUCUUAUCA
This 66-nucleotide transfer RNA is filed under the name Varanus komodoensis (Komodo dragon). It matches the Rfam family "tRNA". Rfam says of the family: Transfer RNA (tRNA) molecules are approximately 80 nucleotides in length. Their secondary structure includes four short double-helical elements and three loops (D, anti-codon, and T loops). Lineage: Eukaryota; Metazoa; Chordata; Lepidosauria; Squamata; Varanidae. The record is from Rfam by way of RNAcentral.